Molecule: long non-coding RNA, 2351 nt
Filed under: Chloebia gouldiae (Gouldian finch)
Lineage: Eukaryota; Metazoa; Chordata; Aves; Passeriformes; Passeridae
Description: Erythrura gouldiae (Gouldian finch) lncRNA (ENSEGOG00005011089.1)
Source: RNAcentral
AAAGACCUUGACAAUCUCCCCCCAAAAAACCCCAAAACUCCUCCAAAAAAACACCAGAACUCCCCCCAAGAAAAUUCCAAAAUUCCCCCAAAAAAAUCCCCCAACCCCCCCAUUGGUCACUCCCAAUGGUCACUCCUGGUGGUCACUGCUCAGUGGUUACUCUCCUCGUUAUUCACUGCCCGGUGGUCACUCCCCAGUGGUCACUCCCCUUGAUGGUCACUCUCCCCGGUGGUCACUACCCAGUGGUCACUGUCCCCAGUGGUCACUCUCCCCAGUAGUCACUCUCCAGUGGUCACUCUCCCCGGUGGUCACUCCCCCUGAUGGUCACUCUCCCGUGGUCACUCUCCCCAGUGGUCACUCCCCCUGAUGGCCACUCCCCAGUGGUCACUCUCCCGUGGUCACUCUCCCGUGGUCACUGUCCCCAGUGGUCACUCUCCCCAGUAGUCACUCUCCAGUGGUCACUGUCCCCAGUGGUCACUCUCCCCAGUAGUCACUCUCCAGUGGUCACUGUCCCCAGUGGUCACUCCCCCUGAUGGUCACUACCCAGUGGUCACUGUCCCCAGUGGUCACUCUCCCCGGUGGUCACUCCCCAGUGGUCACUCCCCCUGAUGGUCACUCCCCAGCGGUCACUCUCCCAUGGUCACUCCCCGGCGGUCACUCCCCAGCGGUCACUCCCCCUGAUGGUCACUCCCCAGUGGUCACUGUCCCCAGUAGUCACUCUCCAGUGGUCACUCUCCCCAGCGGUCACUCUCCCGUGGUCACUCCCCAGCGGUCACUCCCCAGCGGUCACUCUCCCCAGUGGUCACUCCCCAGCGGUCACUCUCCCUUGGUCACUCUCCCCAGCGGUCACUCUCCCGUGGUCACUCCCCAGCGGUCACUCCCCAGCGGUCACUCUCCCGUGGUCACUCCCCAGCGGUCACUCUCCCUUGGUCACUCUCCCGUGGUCACUCUCCCCAGCGGUCACUCUCCCUUGGUCACUCCCCAGCGGUCACUCCCCAGCGGUCACUCUCCCUUUGUCACUCUCCCUUGGUCACUCCCCAGCGGUCACUCCCCAGCGGUCACUCCCCAGUGGUCACUCCCCAGCAGUCACUCUCCCGUGGUCACUCCCCAGCGGUCACUCUCCCGUGGUCACUCCCCAGCGGUCACUCUCCCCGGUGGUCACUCUCCCCAGUGGUCACUCCCCAGCGGUCACUCUCCCUUGGUCACUCUCCCCAGCGGUCACUCUCCCGUGGUCACUCCCCAGCGGUCACUCUCCCGUGGUCACUCUCCCGUGGUCACUCUCCCCAGCGGUCACUCUCCCGUGGUCACUCUCCCGUGGUCACUCCCCAGCGGUCACUCUCCCGUGGUCACUCUCCCCAGCGGUCACUCUCCCGUGGUCACUCUCCCUUGGUCACUCUCCCGUGGUCACUCUCCCCAGCGGUCACUCCCCAGCAGUCACUCCCCCUGAUGGUCACUCUCCCGUGGUCACUCUCCCCAGUGGUCACUCCCCAGCGGUCACUCUCCCUUGGUCACUCUCCCGUGGUCACUCCGGUGGUCACUCACCCGCCCAGCUUGCAGUGUCCGGCGCCGCCGGGCCAGGCGCGCACGUGCCGGGGGUCCGCCAGGAGCCGGACGGGCCCGAAGCCCCCCGGGAAGUACGGCCCGACCGGACAGAGCAGCACGAACAGCAGCGCCCGCCCGGGGGGCGCCACCCCCAGGGUGGGCUGGGCACGGGUCAGGGACCCCCAAAAAUAUCCCCAAAACCCACCCAAAAUACCCCCAAAAACCGCAUCAAAAUCCACCAAAAUACCCCCAAAAAGCCGCCUCAAAAUCCACCAAAAUACCCCCAAAAACCGCCCCAAAAUCCACCAAAACAACCCCAAAAACCGCAUCAAAACCCACCAGAAUAACCCCAAAAACCGCAUCAAAACCCACCAAAAUAUCCCCAAAAAAACCGCCCCAAAAUCCACCAAAAUAACCCCCAAAACCGCCCCAAAAUCCACCAAAAUAACCCCAAAAACUGCCACAAAAUCCACCAAAAUAACCCCAAAAACUGCCUCAAAAUCCACCAAAAUAACCCCAAAAAGCCGCCCCAAAAUCCACCAAAAUAACCCCAAAAAGCCGCCCCAAAAUCCACUAAAAUACCCCCAAAAAACCGCCCCCAAAUCCACCAAAAUAGCUCCAAAAACCUCCCCAAAAUCCCCCAAAACCGCCCCAAAAUCCCCAAAAGCCUCCCCAAAAUCCCCAAAACCCGCCCCAAAAUCCACCAAAGUACCCCCACAAAACCACCCCAAAAUCCACCCAAAUCCCCCUCAAAAUCUCCCAAACCACCCCCAAAAUCCCCCCCCAGGACCCGCCAAAUCCUCCAAAAC